CCUACGGGAGGCAGCAGUGGGGAAUAUUGGACAAUGGGCGAAAGCCUGAUCCAGCAAUGCCGCGUGAGUGAAGAAGGCCUUCGGGUUGUAAAGCUCUUUUACCCGGGAAGAUAAUGACUGUACCGGGAGAAUAAGCUCCGGCUAACUCCGUGCCCAGCAGCCGCGGUAAUACGGAGGGAGCUAGCGUUGUUCGGAAUUACUGGGCGUAAAGCGUACGUAGGCGGCUUGGUAAGUCAGAGGUGAAAGCCCACGACUCAAUCGUGGAACUGCCUUUGAGACUGCUUCGCUUGAAGAUGGGAGAGGUUAGUGGAAUUCCGAGUGUAGAGGUGAAAUUCGUAGAUAUUCGGAAGAACACCAGUGGCGAAGGCGGCUAACUGGACCAUUCUUGACGCUGAGGUACGAAAGCGUGGGGAGCAAACAGGAUUAGAUACCCUGGUAGUCCACGCCGUAAACGAUGAUAACUAGCUGUCGGGGCUCUUGGAGCUUCGGUGGCGCAGCUACGCAUUAGUUAUCGUCCGUCGGUAGUACGGCCGCGAGUAAACGUACGAAGAAGUAGACGGACGNGUAAGAGUAGUUCGACGACGACGACGAGGGAGGAGG
Molecule: ribosomal RNA, 600 nt
Filed under: uncultured bacterium
Lineage: Bacteria
Description: bacterial SSU rRNA
Rfam family: Bacterial small subunit ribosomal RNA (bases 1-517)
Source: RNAcentral